GACGUAGGGCGCGAGCGUUGUCCGGAUUUAUUGGGCGUAAAGAGCUCGUAGGCGGCUUGUCGCGUCGACCGUGAAAACUCGCAGCUCAACUGCGAGCCUGCGGUCGAUACGGGCAGGCUAGAGUUCGGUAGGGGAGACUGGAAUUCCUGGUGUAGCGGUGAAAUGCGCAGAUAUCGGGAAGAACACCCGUGGCGAAGGCGGCACUCUGGGACGGUACUGACGCUGAGACGCGAAAGCGUGGGGAGCGAACAGG
RNAcentral lists this ribosomal RNA (253 nucleotides) under uncultured bacterium. Its description in RNAcentral is "partial 16S ribosomal RNA". It matches the Rfam family "Bacterial small subunit ribosomal RNA", at positions 524 to 776 of the family's 1533-position model. The record is from RNAcentral.